Canis lupus familiaris (dog) is the source of this 3408-nucleotide long non-coding RNA. RefSeq lists it as uncharacterized. The record is from RefSeq and is a predicted model, not a curated record. The transcript is spliced from 2 exons. NCBI's taxonomy places the organism in Eukaryota, Metazoa, Chordata, Mammalia, Carnivora, Canidae.
GUUCUUUUCUUUUUGACUUUGAAGUUUCAGAAACUUCUCUAUAGUUAAGGUCACUUUUGCAGAAAAAAUGGUCCAGUUUUCUACUGUUCCUAAUUUUCUGUUGAAAAGAACAUCAAGCAAUUUCAGGAUAUUAGGAAUUCCCCAAGACUGUGGAGAAGCUGCUUGCCUGAUGGAUUUUAUCUGGGUAAAAGAUCUGGUGAGUGUUAAGAGCUGCUCCCAGGGUCCUCUUCGGCUCAAAAGCCCUGUCAUUGGCUUGGAGAAAAACGUUCCCAUUUUAAAAGAUAAGACAACCCCCUUGAGGCAGAUUUUACCUCUUUGCUUUUUCCAUAGAAAUUGCAGAAUUUGUCUGGAGGCCACUGGGACUGAGUCUGUAACCCAGAUUAGAACUGUUUUCCACAACCUUUUCUUGGGAGCGGGGCAGAUUAGUGAGGGUGGCCAGCCUUGUGGAGAGCUCUUGGAUGUCUCCAGUGGGCCCAGGAAACCCUGUGGAGUUGAGACAAACCAGGGAGACGUUUGGGAUUGACGUUAGAGCAGGAAUCCCAUUUUCCUUCACCUGAAUGCAGAAAAGUAAAAAGAAAAAGCUUUUGCUGGAUAGUUUUCAUUUUAACUGUUUAUGUAAUUUUUGCUCUCAGUGUGACCUUCUGCCCUUCAGUUUUAGACGUGCUUGGGAAGCAAAAUGAAACCCCUGCAUCAGGACUGGAGGAUUCUCUGUACCUCUCAAGUUAGCUCUCUGGCAAACAAAGCACAGUGAACCACGGAAAGGAGUGAUUACUGCAGGACGAACCUUCCCUCCCCCGCCCCCCUUUUUUGGGACCUUGGUGGACUAAGCUGAAUUUCUGACAUUAGACAUGGUUUUUCAAGUGCUCAGGUCAUGAGGCAAUCGGAAAACCCCAGAGUGCCUCCUGAUAAUCUCUGCGGUGUGGGGAGGUGUGGGGAAGGCACACGGGCAUGCAGUUGGAAAGUCUGGGUCUUGCCUCUUUGUCCUGCCUCUUUGUCCUGCCUCUUCACAGCCGGAGGCCCUGGGUGAGACUUUUAACUUCUCUGGAAACUGUUUCCCCUUGUACAAAUGGGGAUAAUAAAUCCCAUAUAUCUCACAAAAUUGUUUUAAGUACGUAAAAAUGUAUGAAAAGAUAACUUAUUCUGUGCUUGAUAAAUGCGAUGUACUCUCAAUCUGUGUGUGCAGGGUUAUAAUCGAUGCCAUUUGGGGUAUUUUCUGCCACAAUCUCCCCCACCCCACCCCAAUUUAAUAAAACAAAGGUAAAGGUAACAUUUAAAAAAUUGCUGUAUUCAAAAUUAAUAAUAAACUUUAGGGUAAAUAAGCUUUAAAACAAAAGUACAUAAGCAAAAAUAAAUAAUUUACACCAACCCACUAACCUAAUUUUCAGAGUAAAGCCAUUUUCAAUUACAGCACUGUUAUCCCGGGCUCCAGCCUGUGGUCAAACUUUGAUAGUUCAUUAUUUUUUAAAAACAUUAACAAAAAACUGAACGCUAAGUAAAAUCUUUAACAAAACCAAAGCACUGGAUUUAACUUUUUAAUUUUAAAUAACCAAACUUUGUCAUUUUAUACAUAAUCCAAUGUGAUGGAUCCAAUUCAAUUUAAUUAGCAUUUCCACUUGAAGAGUUGAUAUUUUAACAGGGAUGGAAAACUGUAAUGAAUGGUCUUCAAACCGUGAGGUACAAAUAAAAACAUACAAGAAUACAGUAGAACAAAAACUGCAGACACCCUCUUAACUUGGGGAAAUAUUCAAAGGCUUUAUAUCCGUUAUUAUCUAUGAUGGCUUUUGGAAUUGAUUGUUUAAAGUAUAGAACCUUUAACGUUUUAGAUACAGCCUUUAUUUUUUUCACAGUAAGUUAAAAAUCCAUUGUAAGGCUCCAUUAGACUCCACCAAUCUUGCAUGUAGACUCUAGGAGUUUGCCAACUGAUAAAAGAGUAAUAUGAAAAUUUACUGUAUUGCCCUAAUUUCAUACAUCCUUGUACACAAUGAAUCAGUUUGGGAAUCUAUUCCAAGAAUUAUAUACACAAAAGUGUCAAGAAUAAAAUGUUCUCACUCUUGCAUAAAAUUGUGUACAGUAUUUCAGGAAUGGAAAAGUUCUAAUUUUCCUGGACCCGGGUUCAUGGAUGUCUGCUGCCUGAAGAUGAAAGGCUCCUCCUGCUGUAGUAAUGUUCCACUGUUCUGAGGAUUAAUCAUCCAACCCUGGCGUUUCUCCUUGUUGGAUCCUAGAUGCUAUUCUAAUGGCUUCUUCCAGAGAUGGCUGUUCUCCAAGCUGAAACAGGAACAACCACAAAGCCAUAGUCAAGAUAAUACCAAAGAAACAGUAUAUGAAGGAAGAGUUCUCUCUGUAGUUCUGACACCUGGACCUAUUUAAGAUACUAUGGCUGAUCCCAUCAUUAAGAGCACGCGCACGCGCGCGCACACACACACACACACACACACACACAAAGAAACAAACAAACAAAAAACCCGAAACAAAACAAAACAAAAAAAGAGCACACACACACAGAAUUCUUGCAGGAGAAUAAUGUAGUAGAUUUCUUAGGAUUUUGAUAAACCUUCACUCCUGCAACAGACAAAAGAUGCUCAUCUCUUCCAAUGGAGGCAUUUAGAGAGCUUCCGGAGCCUUUAGCUUCUAUGCCCAUAAACUAACUUAAAACCAAUGGUUGGCAUUUUCCUGAGCAUGUGCUAACUCUUCUCCAACUAAAUAAAUGAAAAACAACUCUUUCCAAGGAACGAUAAUCUGCACCUAGCAUUCUAGACUCUCUGCUUCAGUCCAGGGACCUGACAAUAGUUUUUUCUGCCUUCUGAUGUCCCCCCAACAUAAACUACAGCUGAGCAGUGACUGAUUCUCACCAGGGGACUAACUUAGGGUCUGUGUUUACACUCAGUUUGUCUCCAAGAAGUAGCUCUUCAAGUGCUUUAUAGAAGCCUGCCUAAUUAGACUUAUUUUGAAAGUAAAGAUGGCUGGCUAGGGGCACGCCGGAAUACCAGAAGCUUUAUUUUUCCUCCUGUAAAUUACUCUAAAAUAUACAAAGAUAAUAGAGAACAAAGUGCUGGUAUCUUUGAGUCCUCCUCAAACACAGCAGUUUUCUUCAAGUAGCUCAGUGCCAUAGAUUAUUCUGUGCCUGCUUCCUGAAAAGGUUAUGAAUAAAGCACAGCGCACAAGGCUGAGAGAUAUGAAGUAGUCCUGCUGUCGCCGAGGAUGGCGGUCACUGCACUCACCUGAACUGCAAUCUGGGUGCCGUUGGAUGUUGCCACUAAGGUCAGGGGUCUGGUUUCCGUGGUUACUAGGUGAUGGCUGUGCUGUUGGUGCCCCAUUUCCGAUGAGGCAGUGUGGAAUGCUGCCAAGUCCUGAGCCACAAUCGCAACCUUAAACAAAAAGUACAUGGAAGUAAAGCUAUGAUUAAUUAAA